AUUCUAAGUUAAUUUUAAUUAAGUACAAAAUAAAUUUAAUUUUAAUUCUACAAACAUCUUAAAAGAAAUCUAAUUUUAUUUUCCAAUGAAUCAACCAUAAAUAAAAAUUCUUUUACUACUGAAAAAAAUCGUCAUUCCAAUGUGCGAAUCAAACGCUAUGCUCUAGGAAUAUGAAUGGGACUUGCAUGAGGUGUCGUAUGACUGAUAAUUUACCACACGAGUUCUCAUCUUGGAUGCUAUCUUCUUUACUUCUUGUCCAAUUGAAAAUUGGUAAAGAAAGCUUUUCAAGUCUUUCAUACACCCAUUAGUCUUACGAGUCGCAGAGAGGAUCCAACGCUAACAGUUGUUGAGUCGGUGAGCCUAGUUGGGCUAGGAAGUAGGAACUAUUUGUGUAACAAACAAGGGUCUUCAACUUCUCCGUCGCCUUUACUUUGUGAAGAAGUUUGAUGUCCUGAAAAAAAAAAAAGGAUUAUUUGUCCCUGCUAAUGAGAACAGGGCCUUUCUCCAACUGCGCACUGAGAAGCUUGAAAUGAUAACUCGAUUCUUUGGAUGGCCUACUUGUUUCACUAUCAAGCGUUUGUGCAGGGGUCAACUUCAUCGGGACUCGGGAGUCAUGUGGGUAAGUGUCUGGUGCUAAAGAGCCCUUACAUGCUUGUCCUUUAUGAGUUGAUGAAAUUUCUAUCUUCAUCCAUUAUAUAUUACAGAGACAUUCUUUACAAUCUCAUCUCAAACUAAUUAACAUAACCAUUGGAAUGCUUUUGUGAGACACUGCACAUGGUACCCCUAACCUCUCUUGAUCUCUUUAUUAUAUAUCUAUCCCUUUUAUUGGGAUCAAUCUAAUUGUAUGCUUGUCUGUAGUUGAUUGUAACCUUUAUACAUACACGGUCUACUUUCUAAGUCCCUGAAAAGAGAAGUUCCUUCUACCACACAACUCAUCCUUAUUCAAUUAACACCGCAAAAUUUAUAUUAUUUGCUGCAGAUUUCAGUCAGAAAGCAAUAUGGUUCCCUGAUGUUAGCUGGUGACCAAACCAUAUGAAAUGGGACAUCACCUUAAUUCCUCAUUUUAUCAUGCACGAGGAGUAAUGUUAGCCUGCAUGUUUAGUAUUCCUUGAGUAACUACUGUGUAUCUCUCUUUCUUUAUUUAUGAGGAUGAGAUUGAUACAUUUGUUUAAUGUCUUUCACCAUCUUAAUUAAUAUCUAUGUAUACUCGUACUUGUGUGGGGUUGGCAUUUAAUAGAUUGGCGUGCCUUUCUAUCAGCAGGAAUUGAAUGCUGAAGAAAAACAAAGGAACACAACUUGCUCCAUCACUCAAUUUUCAUCCUGGGAUGCAUGUGAUAUGUUGGAAUCGUGCUA
Molecule: unclassified non-coding RNA, 1353 nt
Filed under: Hevea brasiliensis (rubber tree)
Lineage: Eukaryota; Viridiplantae; Streptophyta; Magnoliopsida; Malpighiales; Euphorbiaceae
Source: RNAcentral